Corythoichthys intestinalis (scribbled pipefish) is the source of this 690-nucleotide long non-coding RNA. RefSeq lists it as uncharacterized. The record is from RefSeq and is a predicted model, not a curated record. The transcript has 2 exons. NCBI's taxonomy places the organism in Eukaryota, Metazoa, Chordata, Actinopteri, Syngnathiformes, Syngnathidae.
CAUUUGGAGUAUAAAUGUGAUGAUUCCUCCCCCCAUUUCAAUCAACUCCAUCUCACCAUCAACACUUUGAAAUACAGAUCGCGCUACACUUUUAGCCAAGAUGAAGCUAUGUGUCGCCUUUUUUGGACUUUUCCUCGUGUUUCUUGCACUUUCGUCUGAGGUGGUCCAUGGACAGACCACAAAUGGACCUGUGAACGCAACAUUAAAUAUGUCCACCAUUAUACCCACAACUACCAACCCCACAACCGCAAAUACCACCGAUAGGAAUGCGUGCUCCAGAAUCAAUGGCCACCCCUUGCUGUUGUUCGCCCUCGCCCUGGCUCCUCUGAUUCACAGUUGGUGCUUAUGAGUGCACUUGUGGCCCCCUCACUGGACAUAGAGAAUUCACUGAGUUUCUUCGAAGAUGUCUGGAAUUCAUAUUCAGUCUGUGCAGCUGCUGCGCUCACUGUCAAGUGGUUUGCAUCUUGGAAUUUUGCAUGGACUGGACAAUCGUUGGGAAGUAAUCCACUGUGCAGUCUAAUGCUUGGCUUUUUUUGUUUUUCUCCCCCAAAUGUCCAGUGAGUUUUUCUUUUAAGUAAAAGGAUGCUAGUUAAAAGAUCUGUUAAGUAAAAGUUUGUAUUUUGGAAAUCUGUGAAAGUGUUUUUUAGGUCUUGAAAAAUGUUGUAAAUUCAAUAAAUGUUCAUCUUGGAA